Molecule: ribosomal RNA, 253 nt
Filed under: uncultured bacterium
Lineage: Bacteria
Description: partial 16S ribosomal RNA
Rfam family: Bacterial small subunit ribosomal RNA
Source: RNAcentral
UACGUAGGGUGCAAGCGUUAAUCGGAAUUACUGGGCGUAAAGCGUGCGCAGGCGGCUUUGCAAGACAGAUGUGAAAUCCCCGGGCUUAACCUGGGAGCUGCAUUUGUGACUGCAUGGCUGGAGUGCGGCAGAGGGGGAUGGAAUUCCGCGUGUAGCAGUGAAAUGCGUAGAUAUGCGGAGGAACACCGAUGGCGAAGGCAAUCCCCUGGGCCUGCACUGACGCUCAUGCACGAAGCGUGGGGAGCGAAACAGG